Molecule: long non-coding RNA, 328 nt
Organism: Astatotilapia calliptera (eastern happy)
Lineage: Eukaryota; Metazoa; Chordata; Actinopteri; Cichliformes; Cichlidae
Source: Ensembl
CAGCUCUCUCCGUGUGUGAAUGGGUAUCUGUACGCGCUUCGCUGUGUUCAACGGGUGCCGCUGAGCCUCGGCAUCAGGCUGCACUCAAGCCAGGGAUGACUCAGGGUGAGAGCGGCUAAAUGACUCCAGACCUGCCGACAAACUGCGGCAUGAAUGUGCGCGGGUCGAGUCACCGGGAGGAUUUAAAUGGGACUCUGUGCGCUUGCCUGUCCACCGGCGCAUGGUUUUUGAGGAGCUAUGAGGUCUCUGAACCACAAUGACAAUAUCACCGCCGGUAUGAUGACGAGGGGUUCAUAUUGUGAAAAUUCCCUGAAUAAAUUACUGUGCC